Oncorhynchus nerka (sockeye salmon) is the source of this 1828-nucleotide long non-coding RNA. RefSeq lists it as uncharacterized. NCBI's taxonomy places the organism in Eukaryota, Metazoa, Chordata, Actinopteri, Salmoniformes, Salmonidae. The transcript is spliced from 4 exons. The record is from RefSeq and is a predicted model, not a curated record.
CCCAGUCCUUAUCCAACUCAUGAUGCUAGCACCACAACAGAGCUAGAGGAGUUGGAGGACGAUAUAUUCAGACCAAACUUUGUCGCCAGCCCUAGUCGUGUACCGGAUCCCAGUCCCAGCCAUAGUCCCAUCUCAGAGUUUGAAGAAGAAGACCUGUUACCUCUUAGCCUUGAUCCAAGCUUUAGUACCACCUCCAGACCUAGCCAAAGUUCGGGAGCAGCCAUACACCUAGUUCUAACCUAACCAGUAUGACAGGCUUGGAGGAAGGCGGGGCUGCAAAGAUGAAUACAGAGCUGGCCUUCACCUCAACCACCAGUUCUGCCGCACCUACAACAGUCAGGAUGAAUUCAGACAUCGAAGGGUCAGGGUCGGGAUUCCUGCCUCAGAGUAGCACCACAGUAGCAGCCCCUGCUGGCGGGAGGACCAAACAUACAACUCCCUAGUCGAUAAGCCAUUCAUUGAAACAAAGACAAGAAUUCAAGGCAGCAAUAGGCUUGCUCUACCAAGGGAGGAACCGGCAGUGGAUACCUCUACAGUUCUUCGUGAUGCAGCUGCUGUAAAACCAACCCCAUCCAGACAACAUGAUUCAUAUACAUCGGGUUGGUUGAUCAUCGUUGCCUUCGUCGCGGGCGUGGUGGUCUUGGUCGUAAUCUGUGUCGCCAUAGGUACCAGAGACAGAUGGAAUGCACCGGCCCAGGCUUCUGAGAAGAAGGUCGCCAACGAGAGCUCAGGAGAUGAGAAGGCGGAGCGGGAAAUGGAGAGGUUUCUGUCUAAAGAGAGGCCAAGGGAAAACAUCCACGCUGGAGAGUACACUGUUAUACUUCUGGAGGACCUCCCUGAGAAAGAGCCGCUGGACUGAGACGGGCCAAGGAGAUGCAGAACGGGGACAAAAUAAGAACAACGGACACCUGAGAAAUAGAAUGGAACGGGUCUCCCCAUUCUAGUCAAUGGUGGCAUAGUGGGUGGCAUAGUGGGUGGCAUAAUGGGUGGCAUAAUGGGUGACAUAAUGGGUGGACCCCCCCAUUCUUGACACACACAGGAAACUGUUGAGUGUGAAAAACCCAGCAGCGUUGUAGUUCUUGACACAAACGGGUGCACCUGGCACCUACCCUGUUCAAAGGCACUUAAAUAUUUUGUCUUGCCCAUUCCCCCUCUGAAUGGCUCACAGACACAAUCCAUGUCUCAAUUGUCUCAAAGCACAAUCCAGUCUCCUCCCCUUCUUCUACACUGAUUGACGUGAAUUUAACAAGUGACAUCAAUAAGGGAUCAUGGCUUUCACCUGGAUUCACCUGGUCAGUCUAUGUCAUGGAAAGAUUUCUCACAGCAGGGAAAGAAUCCUGCAGCAACUGGAAAUGUGAAUGAUUGUGUGGUUUAUAAUUAAUGGACAUUUUUGUAGGGGUUGAUAAUGCAUUUUUGUACUUAUGGCAAAUCAAGUCUGACAUUUUUAGCGGAAAUUACAAACUUUAGAACUCUUUGUAAACUUUGAAUAACUACACGUUUGCAUUUCCUACCUUGCAGGAAAUUUGCUGCAACAACCGGGUGAUCAAAUUAAGACCCUACAUCUGUAGCUAGUGAUUCCUGAUUCUAUGACUAUGAAUGGAGACAUUCUAGAAUGUAUGUGGGACACGUCUGUGGCGUGUGAGUUUGAACUGUCCCUUUGACCUUUGGUAGCCCAGAUAAGUCAGAUUGAUAAACACCUGCUCCGAUGGGCUAUGGAUGAACACGCUGCUAUAUCUCUGUUGACAUUAUGUAUAUUAUCAACGUUACAAACACUGUCAGAACCAUUGAUAGAAAAAAAAGAAAACAAGGUCAUACUGAAUUUAUAAUU